UUUUACUUAUCGUGCGCCAGAAGCGCCUAUUGUGAACGUUACUCUUAACUGUUGCCUCGGCGGGUUCACGCCCCGGGUGCUGUCGCAGCCCCGGAACCAGGCGCCCGCCGGAGGAACCAACCAAUACUCGUUUCUGUAGUCCCCUCGCGGACGUAUUUCUUACAUGCUCUGAGCAAAAAUUCAAAUAUGAAUCAAAACUUUCAAUCAACGGAUCUCUUGGUUCUGGCAUCGAUGAAGAACGCAGCGAAAUGCGAUAAGUAAUGUGAAUUGCAGAAUUCAGUGAAUCAUCGAAUCUUUGAACGCACAUUGCGCCCGCCAGUAUUCUGGCGGGCAUGCCUGUCCGAGCGUCAUUUCAACCCUCGAACCCCUCCGGGGGAUCGGCGUUGGGGAUCGGGACCCACUCACACGGGUGCCGGCCCCGAAAUACAGUGGCAGGUCUCGCCGCAGCCUCUCCUGCGCAGUAGUUUGCACAACUCGCACCGGGAGCGCGGCGCGUCCACGUCCGUAAAACACCCAACUUUCUGAAAUGUUAACCUCGAGGCAGUUAGGUAACCCGCUGAU
This 561-nucleotide ribosomal RNA is filed under the name Trichoderma sp. ASR-259. RNAcentral describes it as "eukaryotic LSU rRNA". The stretch from base 196 to 350 matches the Rfam family "5.8S ribosomal RNA". Lineage: Eukaryota; Fungi; Ascomycota; Sordariomycetes; Hypocreales; Hypocreaceae. The record is from RNAcentral.